Molecule: small nucleolar RNA, 134 nt
Organism: Jaculus jaculus (lesser Egyptian jerboa)
Lineage: Eukaryota; Metazoa; Chordata; Mammalia; Rodentia; Dipodidae
Source: Ensembl
AGCCUCCCCCUGCUUACUGCAGGCUGUGUUCCUGUACUGAGUGUGUAGAAAGAGGAGGUAAAGUAAACCUGCCCUCAUGUACACCACAGCCCAAGCCACUGCUCCUGGUCUGUACCAUGAAUGGGGAGACACAG